RNA transcript from Sander lucioperca (pikeperch), 1244 nucleotides. It is a transcript of the gene named GTPase IMAP family member 4-like, with no coding region annotated. The transcript has 3 exons. The record is from RefSeq and is a predicted model, not a curated record. Lineage: Eukaryota; Metazoa; Chordata; Actinopteri; Perciformes; Percidae.
AUAUAUAAAAAUGAAAUGACAAACUAUUCAACAGCAAGACAGCACCAGCAACAAGACAUCAGAUGAACUGCUGUAAAAAGAAAAAGAUGUCGGGCACUCAUCCUGAGCCGACUGAGCCCAAACUGAAGAUUAUGCUCAUUGGAUUGACUGGAGUUGGGAAGACUUCAGUCAUGAACACCCUUCUGGGAAUAAAGGAUCAAAAACAAGGACCUAGCCCUUCCUCACAGACAACAGAGUGCAAGAUGGCGACAGUACAGCGUGGUGACCAAGAACUGGUUAUUAUCGAUACUCCGGGUGUGCUGAACAACAAGAAAUCAGAAGAAGAGGUGAAGAAAGACAUCGCGGAAAGCAUCGCAGAUGCAGCUCUCGAUGGUGGUCCUCAUGUCUUCCUGUUGGUGAUGCGGUCGGAUAGUUUGUCAGAGGAAGAAAAAGAAGCAGUGGAAAUCAUUCAGAAGAUCUUUGGUGAUGAGUUCAAAGACUACACUUUGGUCUUGUUCACCCGUGGACAUGAAUAUGUACCUACGCGCGAAGAAGUGGAGAAAUUUGAAUUCCUUAAGAAGUUCAUUCAUGGAGAUGAUUCUUUUCAUUCUUUUGAAAAUAAUGAAUGUGAGAAUGUAAAGGGUGAAGAAAAGGAAAAGCAAGUGUCUGAUCUAGUGGAGAAGAUCAACAAAAUGGUUGCGAAAAACAGGAAGCAAAACAGGCCGCGUUACACCAGUAAAAUGUUGAGAAAGGCACAGGAAAUCCAAAAACAAAUAGAGAAGAAAAUGGAGAAGUCAGAACCUAAUGGCACGAAGGCAGAUAUUCUGUCUAAAAUGGCUGAGGAGAUUUUUACUGGGGUUUUGGACGGGCAAUGGGUGAGUUUAGUGAACAAUGUUUUUGAAAUUGUCGAGAAAAAAGCGAAAGCUAAACGUGCCUAAAAAUAAGCAGAAGACUCACCAGAAUUUGAAAAGUAUUGAAACAGAGAAAUCAAAACGGUAAAAAAGUGUGUAAGGUGAAUUAAUCUAUUUUUUUAUUAAGCUUUUUUACAAUGAGUGAAUGAAUAGUCUAUUAUUCUAUGAUCUGAACUAUUGCUGAAUAAUUUCCCAAUAAAUCAUGAAUUAUAGCCUAGUAAGGUUAAUAACAAUUAAAAGUAAAGGUACUUGAGUGAAGAAAAAGCAGAAGUGCCGGUACUCAGGCACUGAGUAUGUUUGUUACGCAACUUCAGUAACGUACAUAAGGGACCGUUCGGUAUUUAUGGAUUGGAC